GGAAUAUUAAGGGUCCAUUCCCAUUACAGAAUCCCAAAUGUUCUUUUCCUCUCUACCAUUCUCCCGAUCCCUCCUCUCCUUUCUCCAUCGAGAUGUCCACUGCCACCGUCGUCUCAGCCGUUCCUCGUCGGUCCGUUUUAGUUUGAUUGCUGGUACUUUCUUGUUUAAAUCGGGAAAAUGGGUUUAUUCUCAAGCAUUUGAAUUUUGAGGAAGAGAAAAAUGUAGCUAAUUAGAAAUUUCUUUUACCGUUCAUGCGUAAUACUAAGGGUUCAUUCUCAUAAGAGCAUCUGAAUCGUUCUUUUCCCUCCAUUCUUUUCCUUUCACUCGGCUGUGAAAGCCACAAUGAAUCCUACGAUUCUCAUCACAAACCUGAAUCAUGUUUCAAGCCCUAAUUUCUGAUCGAAGGUGGGCUCGUUUGAUUUGUCCAUUUGGGUCUGGACAUAAAUGUUCUUCUCCAGGCAGUACCAGCUUAUUAUAUGCACACAAGGCAGUAAUCCCAGCUCCCAAACGGGUCCAUUCUCAUAAGAGCAUCUGAAUCGUUCUUUUCCCUCCAUUCUUUUCCUUUCACUCGGCUGUGAAACCCACAAUGAAUCCUACGAUUCUCAUCACAAACCUGAAUCAUGUUUCAAGCCCUAAUUUCUGAUCGAAGGUGGGCUCGUUUGAUUUGUCCAUUUGGGUCUGGACAUAAAUGUUCUUCUCCAGGCAGUACCAGCUUAUUAUAUGCACACAAGGCAGUAAUCCCAGCUCCCAAACGAAAAUUGAUUGUGCAGUGAAAGAGAGAAGAAAUAUUUUGGAAGCUUUUAAACUCAAUGUGGAAUAUGGACUUCUUUUAGUUUAUUUAUUGGGCAAGAAAGAAUAAGUUGUUGCUUGAUAAUAAGGGUUUAGGGUAUUGAUUAGAAAUUGAAGGGGAUGACAAUGGAGGUAAAAAGGAGGAAGAGCUUGCAGACAAUGUUGAAGAAGCUGGAAAUGCACUUCUUUCCGUCCAGAUCCAUCUUCUGUUUAUCAACUUCUACUUUUGCUUGGUGUAAUUGUAAACUCAAUCCUUUAAUUCAUUAUUUUGUAUAUAUUCUUACUCUUAUCUUCAUACUGGAGUCAAGCUUUUGAUCUUUGUUUAUUA
Long non-coding RNA from Ricinus communis (castor bean), 1117 nucleotides. RefSeq lists it as uncharacterized. The record is from RefSeq and is a predicted model, not a curated record. The transcript has 3 exons. Lineage: Eukaryota; Viridiplantae; Streptophyta; Magnoliopsida; Malpighiales; Euphorbiaceae.